AUUGAACGCUGGCGGCAGGCCUAACACAUGCAAGUCGAACGGUAGCACAGAGAGCUUGCUCUCGGGUGACGAGUGGCGGACGGGUGAGUAACGUCUGGGAAACUGCCCGAUGGAGGGGGAUAACUACUGGACACGGUAGCUAAUACCGCAUAACGUCGCUAGACCAAAGGGGGGACCUUCGGGCCUCCCACCCCCGGACGUGCCCAGAUGGGAUUAGCUAGUCGGUGGGGUAAUGGCGCACCUAGGCGACGAUCCCUAGCUGGUCUGAGAGGGUGACCAGCCACUCUGGAACUGAGACACGGUCCAGACGCCUACGGGAGGCAGCAGUGGGGAAUAUUGCACAAUGGGCGCAAGCCUGAUGCAGCCAUGCCGCGGGUAUGAAGAAGGCCUUCGGGUUGUAAAGUACUUUCGGCGGGGAGGAAGGCGGUGAAGUUAAUAGCUUCACCGAUUGACGUUACCCGCAGAAGAAGCACCGGCUAACUCCGUGCCAGCAGCCGCGGUAA
Molecule: ribosomal RNA, 503 nt
Filed under: uncultured bacterium
Lineage: Bacteria
Description: partial 16S ribosomal RNA
Rfam family: Bacterial small subunit ribosomal RNA
Source: RNAcentral